GGAGGCGUAGCUCAGUCGGUUAGAGCGCUUGCUUCACAUGCAAGAAGUCGGGGGUUCGAGUCCCUCCGUCUCCACCA
This 77-nucleotide transfer RNA is filed under the name Clostridia bacterium. Its description in RNAcentral is "tRNA-Val". It matches the Rfam family "tRNA". From Rfam's summary of the family: Transfer RNA (tRNA) molecules are approximately 80 nucleotides in length. Their secondary structure includes four short double-helical elements and three loops (D, anti-codon, and T loops). The record is from RNAcentral. Lineage: Bacteria; Bacillati; Bacillota; Clostridia.